Molecule: unclassified non-coding RNA, 1078 nt
Filed under: leaf metagenome
Description: partial contains internal transcribed spacer 1, 5.8S ribosomal RNA, internal transcribed spacer 2, and large subunit ribosomal RNA
Rfam family: Eukaryotic large subunit ribosomal RNA (bases 494-1078)
Source: RNAcentral
UCAUUACUGAGUUUACGCUCUACAACCCUUUGUGAACAUACCUAUAACUGUUGCUUCGGCGGGUAGGGUCUCCGUGACCCUCCCGGCCUCCCGCCCCCGGGCGGGUCGGCGCCCGCCGGAGGAUAACCAAACUCUGAUUUAACGACGUUUCUUCUGAGUGGUACAAGCAAAUAAUCAAAACUUUUAACAACGGAUCUCUUGGUUCUGGCAUCGAUGAAGAACGCAGCGAAAUGCGAUAAGUAAUGUGAAUUGCAGAAUUCAGUGAAUCAUCGAAUCUUUGAACGCACAUUGCGCCCGCCAGCAUUCUGGCGGGCAUGCCUGUUCGAGCGUCAUUUCAACCCUCAAGCUCUGCUUGGUGUUGGGGCCCUACAGCUGAUGUAGGCCCUCAAAGGUAGUGGCGGACCCUCCCGGAGCCUCCUUUGCGUAGUAACUUUACGUCUCGCACUGGGAUCCGGAGGGACUCUUGCCGUAAAACCCCCAAUUUUCCAAAGGUUGACCUCGGAUCAGGUAGGAAUACCCGCUGAACUUAAGCAUAUCAAUAAGCGGAGGAAAAGAAACCAACAGGGAUUGCCUCAGUAACGGCGAGUGAAGCGGCAACAGCUCAAAUUUGAAAUCUGGCCCUAGGCCCGAGUUGUAAUUUGCAGAGGAUGCUUUUGGUGCGGUGCCUUCCAAGUUCCCUAGAACGGGACGCCAGAGAGGGUGAGAGCCCCGUACAGUUGGACACCAAGCCUUUGUAAAGCUCCUUCGACGAGUCGAGUAGUUUGGGAAUGCUGCUCAAAAUGGGAGGUAUAUUUCUUCUAAAGCUAAAUACCGGCCAGAGACCGAUAGCGCACAAGUAGAGUGAUCGAAAGAUGAAAAGCACUUUGAAAAGAGGGUUAAACAGCACGUGAAAUUGUUAAAAGGGAAGCGCUUGUGACCAGACUUGCGUCCGGUGAAUCACCCAGCUCUCGCGGCUGGGGCACUUCGCCGGCUCAGGCCAGCAUCAGCUCGCUGUCGGGGACAAAAGCUUCAGGAACGUAGCUCUCUUCGGGGAGUGUUAUAGCCUGUUGCAUAAUACCCUUCGGCGGGCGAGGUACGC